Molecule: long non-coding RNA, 267 nt
Filed under: Physcomitrium patens
Lineage: Eukaryota; Viridiplantae; Streptophyta; Bryopsida; Funariales; Funariaceae
Description: long non-coding RNA (PPAT_LNC004656)
Source: RNAcentral
UAAUAGAUCUACGGGUGAAACUUUGUGGAUUUUUGGUUAUAGUUGUGUUUAAUAUGGGUCAUGAAUUUGAGCUUGAUCUAACGGUUGAAUUGAGGGAUAUUGAGGUUUAAGUGGGUCAAGGUCUCAGAAAGUAGAAUUUUAGGUCCAGUGGGGGUUUUUGAGAUUUCUUGCAAUCUAUUAGUUGGAUUGAAGUGAAGCUUACGUGAGAGGAUAUUAGACUUGUUUUUAUAUGCGUAUGAGAAUUUUGAGAUCAAUCGAAAGGUGAAA